This is a long non-coding RNA of Choloepus didactylus (southern two-toed sloth), 1190 nucleotides long. RefSeq lists it as uncharacterized. Lineage: Eukaryota; Metazoa; Chordata; Mammalia; Pilosa; Megalonychidae. The transcript is spliced from 3 exons. The record is from RefSeq and is a predicted model, not a curated record.
AGCGGGGCAGAAACUCCUGCUUCUCCCCCCACCCUUAUGCAACCCCGGACCUCGCGUCCCUAGGCCGCCGCCCCGCCCCCGGCCGAGAGGACCGAGCCGUAGGGGGUUGGGGGGGGCGUGUGUGGAAACGCCGGUGAAAGGCGGUGGAGCUGCACCCGGGCCCUCGGAGCCUGAAGCCCAGCCCUCCCUCCCCCCACGCGCAGACGUGCAGCUCUGAACGUUAUCGGAGUCCGUGCAGAAUCCCAGGGUUCGCUGCUGUGCCCUUGCCCUGCUGCACCGCGGCCUCGGCGGCUCCCGCUGCAGGCCCGGCGCCCCCGCAACCCCCGCACUGCGGCCCCGCAACACUUACGAGUCUCCGUCCUCCGUGAGCUGCUGCUUCCAAGGCUCGGCGCCGCGCGGCGCCUCCUGAGGCUCAAGACGGAUCUCCCGCAGCUCCUUCACCAUCUGCUCAUACUCCUCGUCCUUCAUGGAGUCCAGGCCGCUGUCGUGGCGGUCGUCCAGCAGCCGCUCCUUCUUCAUCCCGUCCCGGGGACCCUCCAUGGCCCACUCCGGGGCGUGCUCGGCGGGCUGAAACAUGGCGCGGUAAAAGCUCCAGGCGCUGCUCCCCAGGUAUAACCCACUGGCCCUGAGUUGAUAACCUCUCUUUCAGACAAGGUAUUCUUCUGGUUGCUGAAGAUUAAUAAGACAUGGUCUCACUACUGGAAGUGUUUGCAAUGCAUGAAACCAACAAAGAAUUAGUAUACGCAGAAUAUGUAAAGAACUCCUACAAUUCAAAAGAAAAAGACAACUCCAGAGAGAAAUUGGCAAAGCAUAAGAACAGGCAAUUUACAGAAGAGAAAAUUCAAUAUGGAAAAUUAGCAUAUGAACAGUUGGUCAAUAUAACUAGUAAUCAGGAAAAUUUAAGUUAAAACAAUAAGAUACUAUUCCACACCCAUCAGAUUGGCUAAAAUUGAAAAGUUUGACUUGUAAAUGGGAAAUCAAACUCUAGUGGGAGUAAACAUUGGACAACCACUUUGGGGAGCAAUUUUUCAAUAUCUAGUAAUUUAAUUUUAAUUUGUCAAUGUUUAUAGCAAUUCUACUUCUGGAGAUAAACCCCAAAGAAAUACUUACACAUGUGCACAAAGAUACAUUAAAAGAAUGUCCAUUGCAAUACUGUUUGUAAUAGUGAAAAAGUGAAAACUUUUUACCAA